This 498-nucleotide ribosomal RNA is filed under the name uncultured bacterium. RNAcentral describes it as "partial 16S ribosomal RNA". It matches the Rfam family "Bacterial small subunit ribosomal RNA", at positions 30 to 523 of the family's 1533-position model. The record is from RNAcentral.
AUUGAACGCUGGCGGCAUGCCUUACACAUGCAAGUCGAACGGUAACAGGUCUUCGGAUGCUGACGAGUGGCGAACGGGUGAGUAAUACAUCGGAACGUGCCUAGUAGUGGGGGAUAACUACUCGAAAGAGUGGCUAAUACCGCAUGAGAUCUACGGAUGAAAGCAGGGGAUCGCAGGACCUUGUGCUACUAGAGCGGCCGAUGGCAGAUUAGGUAGUUGGUGGGAUAAAAGCUUACCAAGCCGACGAUCUGUAGCUGGUCUGAGAGGACGAUCAGCCAGACUGGGACUGAGACGCGGCCCAGACUCCUGCGGGAGGCAGCAUUGGUGAAUUUUGUACAAUGGGCGAAAGCCUGAUCCAGCAAUGCCGCGUGCAGGAUGAAGGCCUUCGGGUUGUAAACUGCUUUUGUACGGAACGAAAAGCCCCGGGUUAAUACCCUGGGGUCAUGACGGUACCGUAAGAAUAAGCACCGGCUAACUACGUGCCAGCCGCCGCAGUAA